This 301-nucleotide ribosomal RNA is filed under the name uncultured bacterium. RNAcentral's name for it is "partial 16S ribosomal RNA". It matches the Rfam family "Bacterial small subunit ribosomal RNA", at positions 509 to 809 of the family's 1533-position model. The record is from RNAcentral.
CAGCAUCCGCGGGAAUACAGAGGGUGCGAGCGUUAAUCGGAUUUACUGGGCGUAAAGCGUGCGUAGGCGGCUUUUUAAGUCGGAUGUGAAAUCCCUGAGCUUAACUUAGGAAUUGCAUUCGAUACUGGGAAGCUAGAGUAUGGGAGAGGAUGGUAGAAUUCCAGGUGUAGCGGUGAAAUGCGUAGAGAUCUGGAGGAAUACCGAUGGCGAAGGCAGCCAUCUGGCCUAAUACUGACGCUGAGGUACGAAAGCAUGGGGAGCAAACAGGAUUAGAUACCCCCGUAGUCCCUGUCUCUUAUAA